Long non-coding RNA from Ctenopharyngodon idella (grass carp), 260 nucleotides. RefSeq lists it as uncharacterized. NCBI's taxonomy places the organism in Eukaryota, Metazoa, Chordata, Actinopteri, Cypriniformes, Xenocyprididae. The transcript has 2 exons. The record is from RefSeq and is a predicted model, not a curated record.
AGAAGUUCAAAUAUUUCAACGCAUCCGAAGCUCAAAUCGGAUCCGAAAUUUCCGCAUUCGCAUAUGAUCGGAACUCCACGCAGCCCCCGUACUACUCUCCCUUGGAAAAGAAUGACUUCCGGUCCAACGGCUGUCGUUUGUCGUGCGCAGUGGAAAGUUGGCUUCAGGAAGAAGUUACUACUUUGUUUCUGAACGUUGUAUUGAUGAGCGUAUUGAUGGCUACAGGAAGAGUCGUUUCUCCGCCCUGUCCCCUCAUCCCA